RNAcentral lists this ribosomal RNA (516 nucleotides) under uncultured microorganism. RNAcentral describes it as "bacterial SSU rRNA". It matches the Rfam family "Bacterial small subunit ribosomal RNA", at positions 9 to 524 of the family's 1533-position model. The record is from RNAcentral.
GAGUUUGAUCGUGGCUCAGGAUGAACGCUGGCGGCGUGCUUAACACAUGCAAGUCGAACGAAGCGCCUUAUUUGAUUUUCUUCGGAACUGAAGAUUUGGUGACUGAGUGGCGGACGGGUGAGUAACGCGUGGGUAACCUGCCCUGUACAGGGGGAUAACAAUCAGAAAUGACUGCUAAUACCGCAUAAGACCACAGCACCGCAUGGUGCAGGGGUAAAAACUCCGGUGGUACAGGAUGGACCCGCGUCUGAUUAGCUGGUUGGUGAGGUAACGGCUCACCAAGGCGACGAUCAGUAGCCGGCUUGAGAGAGUGAACGGCCACAUUGGGACUGAGACACGGCCCAAACUCCUACGGGAGGCAGCAGUGGGGAAUAUUGCACAAUGGGGGAAACCCUGAUGCAGCAACGCCGCGUGAGUGAAGAAGUAUUCGGUAUGUAAAGCUCUAUCAGCAGGGAAGAAAGUGACGGUACCUGACUAAGAAGCCCCGGCUAACUACGUGCCAGCCGCCGCCGUAAC